RNAcentral lists this transfer RNA (72 nucleotides) under Candidatus Lernaella stagnicola. RNAcentral describes it as "tRNA-Thr". It matches the Rfam family "tRNA". Rfam says of the family: Transfer RNA (tRNA) molecules are approximately 80 nucleotides in length. Their secondary structure includes four short double-helical elements and three loops (D, anti-codon, and T loops). Further hydrogen bonds mediate the characteristic L-shaped molecular structure. tRNAs have two regions of fundamental functional importance: the anti-codon, which is responsible for specific mRNA codon recognition, and the 3' end, to which the tRNAs corresponding amino acid is attached (by aminoacyl-tRNA synthetases). tRNAs cope with the degeneracy of the genetic code in two manners: having more than one tRNA (with a specific anti-codon) for a particular amino acid; and 'wobble' base-pairing, i.e. permitting non-standard base-pairing at the 3rd anti-codon position. Lineage: Bacteria; Candidatus Lernaellota; Candidatus Lernaellaia; Candidatus Lernaellales; Candidatus Lernaellaceae. The record is from RNAcentral.
GCCAUCGUAGCUCAGUGGUGGAGCACCUCCUUGGUAAGGAGGGGGUCCCCGGUUCGAUCCCGGGCGAUGGCU